GACGAACGCUGGCGGCGUGCUUAACACAUGCAAGUCGAACGGAAAGGCCCUGCUUUUGUGGGGUGCUCGAGUGGCGAACGGGUGAGUAACACGUGAGUAACCUGCCCUUGACUUUGGGAUAACUUCAGGAAACUGGGGCUAAUACCGGAUAGGAUCUCCUGCUGCAUGGUGGGGGUUGGAAAGUUUCGGCGGUUGGGGAUGGACUCGCGGCUUAUCAGCUUGUUGGUGGGGUAGUGGCUUACCAAGGCUUUGACGGGUAGCCGGCCUGAGAGGGUGGCCGGCCACAAUGGGACUGAGAUACGGACCAGAAUCCUACGGGAGGCAGCGGUGGGGAGUAUUGCGCAAUGGGCGGAAGCGUGAUGCGGCAACGCCGCGUGCGGGAUGACGGCCUUCGGGUUAUGAACCGCUUUCGCCUGUGACGAGGCGUGAGUGACGGUAAUGAGUAAGGAAGCACCGGCUAACUACGUG
Molecule: ribosomal RNA, 468 nt
Filed under: uncultured bacterium
Lineage: Bacteria
Description: partial 16S ribosomal RNA
Rfam family: Bacterial small subunit ribosomal RNA
Source: RNAcentral